UUAUUUGGUUGAUCCUGCCCGUAGUCAUACGCUCGUCUCAAAGAUUAAGCCAUGCAUGUGUAAGUAUAAAUAAUUUUACUUUGAAACUGCGAAUGGCUCAUUAUAUCAGUUAUAGUUUAUUAGAAAUACUUUACUACUUGGAUAACCGUAGUAAUUCUAGGGCUAAUACAUGACUAAAUCCUCAACUUCGGAAGAGGUGUGUUUAUUAGUAUGAAAACCAUAUAUCUUCGGAUAUAAUAGUGAGUAAUAAUAACCUUUCGUAUCGUAUGUCGUAAGAUAACGAUAGUUCUUUCAAGUUUCUGCCCUAUCAGCUUUCGAUGGUAGUAUAUGGGACUACCAUGGCAGUAACGGGUAACGAAGAAUUUGGGUUCGAUUUCGGAGAGGGAGCCUGAGAGAUGGCUACCACAUCCAAGGAAGGCAGCAGGCGCGUAAAUUACCCAAUCCUGACAUAGGGAGGUAGUGACAAUAAAUCACAAUGCGGAACUAUUUAGUUUUGCAAUUGGAUUGAGAACAAUGUACAAAUGUUAUCGAUAAACAAUUGGAGGGCAAGUCUGGUGCCAGCAGCCGCGGUAAUUCCAGCUCCAAUAGCGUAUAUAAACGUUGUUGCAU
Molecule: ribosomal RNA, 609 nt
Filed under: Blastocystis sp. subtype 5
Lineage: Eukaryota; Bigyra; Opalinata; Blastocystidae
Description: SSU rRNA
Rfam family: Eukaryotic small subunit ribosomal RNA
Source: RNAcentral